UAAAAAUUAGUUAAAAUAUAAUAUUAAAAUGUCAUUUUAAAGUUAUUAAAAAUUAAUAUUUUUAU
Molecule: transfer RNA, 65 nt
Filed under: Betylobracon waterhousei
Lineage: Eukaryota; Metazoa; Arthropoda; Insecta; Hymenoptera; Braconidae
Description: tRNA-Asp
Source: RNAcentral